GGCUACUUGGCGCAAUGGUAGCGCGUUUGGCUUCGAUCGCCAUUCGGGUACCAAAAGGUAGAAGGUUCGAGUCCUGCAGUGGUCA
This is a non-coding RNA of Postia placenta Mad-698-R, 85 nucleotides long. NCBI's taxonomy places the organism in Eukaryota, Fungi, Basidiomycota, Agaricomycetes, Polyporales, Adustoporiaceae. The record is from Rfam.